UUUGCUUAAAUAACCUACUUUUUAUUGGAUGGCAUGGAAAUGCUGAAAACACUUCUGUCUUCCUCACAAAUGUACUAAUUCCUUGAAUUUGUAUGUUCUUGAAUCCUGGAUUGUACUUCUUUAGGGCUGGGUGAAAAUCCAGUCAUGUUAUUAAUAAUUCAUCUGUACAUCAGCCACAGCCCUAUCUGGCAAGAAGCUGUGUGCUAGUAUUUUGAGUGAUUGUUUUGAAAAUCCUGCUGUGGUGAAUGAUAAACAUACAGCAUAACCACUAGUUUAAGCGUCGCCAUAGAUGAAAAAAGUAGAUACCAAACAUUCCUUUUGCUUUUUCAUCCUUUGCUGUAAAUUGUUUAUCCUUGAAGAGAAAUACGGAAAUCUUGACUGUUUGCCCAGAUUUGCAGCUGGUCUCUAAAGGGAGAAAAAUGUUAAGCUCAACAGUGAAUUUGGAAGUUGCUCUGCUGGCACCAUCUAUCUAUCCGAUGGCUUAGCGCAGUGCUGUGUGGUGCAGUAAGCGAGCUUCGGCUUCAGUGUGUUGGGAUGCCAGUAAAAGAAUGAAGUUUUUCUUGGCCUGGAGCAGAAGUGUGUAUUGACAGAGUCUUGGUAUCUGUGCUGCUAUAGAAGGAUCAGCACUUGCUAAAUGGCUGUGGGCUGGAUGAGGAACAUGCUUUACUGUUGUCCCCUGUUGUACCUCCAAAGCAAACUGGCAUCAUAAUGCUGCUGGAAGAGAAAGCUCCUGCUGUUCAUAUUCGUAUUGUUCAGUGAGACCUCGGACUCAUACACAUGGAUACUCUGUCUGAUGCCUUGCACAGACAGAAUAUUUUGGUAGGCUGAUCAACAUUCGUUUUACCUACGUAGAUGCUUGGCUUAUGAUGUUUUUGUAGAUAUUUUCACUUAUUCAACUGGAUUUUCACAAUGGAAAACGUGGAAACUUCAGGAAAAAGAACAAUGAAACUAUUUGCUUUGUACUUCAAACUUACUACAGUGUGGUAAGUGAAUGCUUGAAGCUAUACAAUUGGGUUCAAAAGCAUUCAAAUAAUAAUAAGCCUUAAGUAUUCAUGAAUCUCAAAUACAUUAACUUGAGUGAUUGUCUGUUUGCGUUGCCCUCAUAAUCUUUUGUUUUCCUGUUGCUCGGACACAAUAAGUGUUUUGAGUGAGAGAGAAGAUGAUCAGAUUAUGGUGCAAAACAAAUUUCAUGUAGUGACCAGCUGCACAUCAUUAAUGGGAAGGAGUGAAGUGUUGAACAGUUUUUAUGUAAAUACAGGAAUUGAUUGCAUAAGCUCUCUUGUGUCUAAAUGCAAUUAAUAAAUGCUUUUGGAAAUGUAAAAAAGAUCGCAAAGCCAAGAGUCAGUGUGGAUUGGAAACACCAAAGUUUCUGUCAACCACUCAGGAACUGAAUGUUAUUUCAAAAAAUAGAAAUGAAAGUGAUAUAAUGACAAUUUGGGAGGGAUGUUAAUGAAGAAAAAGAAGCCAAGUUACUUACUUGAUCUGAUAGCAAACUAUUACUACUUGAUCUGAUUGCAAACCAUCUGGCAAUAUGCUGCCAAAUCAUUAUGUAUCCUUUGUAUGACUCAGUGCUAAUGAGCUGUGCAGGGAUUAUGCAGAUUUCUUGUGCUUUUGGCUGUGGUAGAAGGUUUUAAAAAUAACACUUGCAAUAUUAGUAUGACAUGUACUUGCUAAGAAUUUCUGACAUUAAUCCAAACUUUGUUUUUUCAUUAGAAAAUACCCCAACCACUUCAAAGACAGUCCAAAUUUUGAUUUUUAUGUGAACAAAAACAAGAAAACGGACAAAUAUCAGUAUUCUUUAUACUAACAGUACAAAGUGAUUUUUAUGAAGAUAGUUAUGAAGAUAGAGCAAAAUUCAAAAUGCAAGUGAGAUGAAUGCGUUUAACUCUCGUUGAUCUCCUGGUGGACUUUUCCAAAACAAUAAACUCAUCUGAAUCUUUAUAGUUAUGGAUGGCUGUCUUCCUUAAAAUAAAUAAAUAAUCCUUUGAGCAUGGGUUGGAUUCAUGAUUCAGUGGAUGAAAUAUGGAUUGUCAUGCAAGAGAUCUGAUUUUCAUAGUGUCACAUUAAAGUGCCUAUAGUGUUUGGAACAUGCUGAGAGAUUCAAAUUCUAUGAGCUCAAAAGGUGAUGAAACUAAAGCAACAGUGAACAUAGGCAAUGCUGGUAAAUGGGUUUUGACAGCUUGUCUGACUACCUGAGCUAUGCUAGUAUCAUUUUACAGAGAAUUCUAGCUGGGACAAAAAAAAUAUGAAAUAUUUGGCCCUUUCUGAAAUUUACCACGCUUACCAAUCUUACUUCUAAGUCAGGCAUGAUGUACAGGAAUGAUUAUUAGUAAGCAUUUCGUAGUUUUGUUUGGUUUUCCCUUUCUCUCAAAUCAGUAAACAACCUUGUCUAUAGCUUGUGGACAUUGGGGGGCACUAUAGCCUCACUAAACAAUUCAAAUACCUUCUAUCUUAAAUUUUGCUAUGUUGGCUAAGCUUCUUUUCUCCAUGUAGUGUAACUAUCUAAGGCAAGUGGAAAAACAAACAAACAAACAAAAAAUCCAGAAGUAAUAGCUAUGUUUCUUUUCCUUCAUUUAUUUAUUUUUGUUAGUAAUUGUCUUGCUCUAAAUAGCAGUAGAUUUCUGACCAAGAACUGAUGUUGCUUAGUUUAAGGAACUCUUUGUUUCGAGUGCUAAUCUACAGAUUCUCUGUGAAUCUUUCUACAGCAAAUGGGAAAAUGUGCUUUGCAUCCAAUCUGCUUUUGUGUGUUUGUGUCCCAGCCAUUUGUAAUGAAGUUGUCCACUAAUGUAAAAAGCACGUUUUAGACCAGUGUAGUUUAUUCUCAUUUACUUCAGUUUGAAAUGAUUUCUGAGUUAAGAAAUGUUUUUCAUUGGUGACAUAGCUAACAUGGAUACUGCUAUAUACUUCUGUGAAUGAAAAAUCUCCUCUAAGUAGUUUACUUUUUAGGACACAAUUUAGUCUAUCUAAUUGGAUUUUAAUCUUCAUGUUACAAAAUUUAUUACAGAUUGGGAGAUAUGUACACCACAUUCAAAUUUAAUGUAUUACUGGUAUAAGGUAUACAAGUACCUCUUCUAGCUGCAGUAUCUGUUUUUUUUUUCCUUGGGUUAAAUGUAUUGUACAGAACAAAAUAUUCAAAUUGUAGAUAACUACAAGCAUUUUUUAUUAGUUUAAUUUUGCCAAUAGACAGAUAAUGCCUUUUGAAAACUGACUGGCCAUAUGGUUUUAACUAGUGUGGGACAGAAUAAACAAAUAAAAAGGAAUACAACAUUUGGAUUAAUCUUUUUUUUUUCUUUUCUUCAGUUCAUGGCUGUAUUUGAAACAAAAGUACAGAACUAAGUUUUGCAGUUGUUUCAGAAUGUCUAAUAGUAGAGCAAUGUCCAGUCAGUCUCCAAGCAGUGGCCACAAUGGAAAUCAGAACCACCUCCUCCUUUUCUUCCUCCAACCCAGUUUUUUUUGUGGAGAAUGAGGUUACAUGGUAUGAAAUAUCUCCUUGGCCAGUUCAGGUCAGGGUUUGCAGCUGUGCUCCCUCCCAACUUCUUGCUCAGUGUUGGGAUGUGCUGGGUGGAAGGAUGGCAGCAGAUGGGCUCCUAUGAAGAAAGUUAACUCCAUCCUGGCCAGACCCAACACACCAAGUCUU
Molecule: long non-coding RNA, 3637 nt
Organism: Tympanuchus pallidicinctus (lesser prairie-chicken)
Lineage: Eukaryota; Metazoa; Chordata; Aves; Galliformes; Phasianidae
Exons: 5
Source: RefSeq, a predicted model, not a curated record